AGGGUUUGAUUCUGGCUCAGGAUGAACGCUGGCGGCGUGCCUAAUACAUGCAAGUCGAACGAGUUCUCGUUGAUGAUCGGUGCUUGCACCGAGAUUCAACAUGGAACGAGUGGCGGACGGGUGAGUAACACGUGGGUAACCUGCCCUUAAGUGGGGGAUAACAUUUGGAAACAGAUGCUAAUACCGCAUAGAUCCAAGAACCGCAUGGUUCUUGGCUGAAAGAUGGCGUAAGCUAUCGCUUUUGGAUGGACCCGCGGCGUAUUAGCUAGUUGGUGAGGUAAUGGCUCACCAAGGCGAUGAUACGUAGCCGAACUGAGAGGUUGAUCGGCCACAUUGGGACUGAGACACGGCCCAA
RNAcentral lists this ribosomal RNA (355 nucleotides) under uncultured bacterium. Its description in RNAcentral is "bacterial SSU rRNA". It matches the Rfam family "Bacterial small subunit ribosomal RNA", at positions 8 to 334 of the family's 1533-position model. The record is from RNAcentral.